RNAcentral lists this unclassified non-coding RNA (267 nucleotides) under plant metagenome. RNAcentral's name for it is "partial contains small subunit ribosomal RNA, internal transcribed spacer 1, and 5.8S ribosomal RNA". The record is from RNAcentral.
GUUCCGUAGGUGAACCUGCGGAAGGAUCAUUAUCGUACAAAAUGUGAGGGGCAUGCGAGGGCUGUCGCUGACUCAAAAGUCGUGCACGCCCGAGUGUGUCCUCUUGCAUAAUAAUCCAUCUCACCCUUUGUGCAUCACCGCGUGGGCACCCUUCGGGAUCAUCUCGGAGGGGGGCUCGCGUUUUCACACAAACCCCCCUUUUAAAAGUGUAGAAUGACCACAUUUAUGCAAUCAAUACAACUUUCAACAACGGAUCUCUUGGCUCUC